This 657-nucleotide ribosomal RNA is filed under the name Pseudanabaena sp. CCY9715. Its description in RNAcentral is "bacterial LSU rRNA". It matches the Rfam family "Bacterial large subunit ribosomal RNA", at positions 1559 to 2227 of the family's 2925-position model. Lineage: Bacteria; Bacillati; Cyanobacteriota; Cyanophyceae; Pseudanabaenales; Pseudanabaenaceae. The record is from RNAcentral.
AAUUGGAUUGGGAGGACUCUACGGAGUCUGAGUGAUGAAGUGUAGUGCCAAGAAAAGCCGUAUAUGUGUUGAAUACCUAGUACCCGUACCCUAAACCGACACAGGUGGGUAGGUUGAGUAUACUAAGGGGCGCGAGAUAACUCUCUCUAAGGAACUCGGCAAAAUGGCCCCGUAACUUCGGGAGAAGGGGUGCCAUCGCAAGAUGGCCGCAGUGAAAUGAUCCAAGCGACUGUUUACCAAAAACACAGGUCUCUGCAAAGUCGAAAGACGACGUAUAGGGGCUGACGCCUGCCCAGUGCCGGAAGGUUAAGGAAGUUGGUCAGCGAAAGUGAAGCUAACGACUGAAGCCCCGGUGAACGGCGGCCGUAACUAUAACGGUCCUAAGGUAGCGAAAUUCCUUGUCGGGUAAGUUCCGACCCGCACGAAAGGCGUAACGAUUUGGAUGCUGUCUCGGAGAGAGACUCGGCGAAAUAGGAUUGUCUGUGAAGAUACGGACUACUUGCACCCGGACAGAAAGACCCUAUGAAGCUUUACUAUAACUUGGAAUUGGGUUCGGGCUUCUCUUGCGCAGGAUAGGUGGGAGACUUUGAUAUUGUCCUUGUGGGGACAAUGGAGUCAACGGUGAGAUACCACUCUGGAGAGGCUAGAAUUCUAACC